This is an RNA transcript of Gossypium raimondii (Peruvian cotton), 742 nucleotides long. It is a transcript of the gene named dynamin-related protein 12A-like, with no coding region annotated. The transcript is spliced from 5 exons. NCBI's taxonomy places the organism in Eukaryota, Viridiplantae, Streptophyta, Magnoliopsida, Malvales, Malvaceae. The record is from RefSeq and is a predicted model, not a curated record.
AUCUUAUCUUUCGGGUUGGAUUUGUCGAUGUUGUCUUCUAGACUGGAAAACUACUUAGGGAGGCUGACAAGGAAUCGGGUCACAAAAAGACAAUAACAUCACUUACAAAAUCUGCAGACGGUUCACACUUCCUUACUGGUUCCUUAGAUAAAUCUGCCAAGCUAUGGGACACAAGAACGUUGACUCUUAUCAAGACCUAUGUUACUGAACGUCCAGUCAAUGCUGUAGCUAUGUCUCCACUUCUCGACCAUAGGGUCAGCCCGAGAGCAUUGUGCAAGAUAUUGAGAACAUGGUUCGCUCUUACAUUGAGAAGGAAGUACAGUUUUGUCUUACGUAAAUAUGGUCUGCGCUACUUUGCGCCACUCGAUUCCAAAGUCCAUUGUUUAUUGUCAAGUCCAUGAAGCUAAAAGAAGCCUGCUUGACUUUUUCUACACGGAAUUGGGUAAACUGGAGCAAAAACGAUUAUCGGCAUUACUGAAUGAGGAUCCAGCAAUCAUGGAACGCCGAUCCGCUCUUGCGAAGAGACUGGAAUUAUAUAGGAGUGCACAAGCUGAAAUCGAUACGGUCGCUUGGUCGAAGUAAGAGUGGGUAAAUUUAGAUCCAUGGGGCAUGGUAUUGGGAUCUGUUUUGUUGUUUUUUCGUUAAAGCAAUAUAUUUUUUAAGAAUUUUAGAAUGCAAACAUCAUUUGUUGUGUAUUCUGAGUUUCUUUAAAGCUGUAUAAUAUGCAAAUGUUUUGCCACUU